CUUUUAAAAACUUCAAUAACAAAAGAGAGGCAAGGAUUAAACUUAUCUCUUGGAGAAAACACCAACACAGCAACAAUGAGAAAUUCGGAGGAGAAGAACAAAUGAGCUCUAAAGAUCCCAGAAGCUAAAACUUGAAAUUCAAACUCGAUUCUUCAAAAAAAAAAAAAAGUAAAAAGUCAUGAAAAAACUGUGAAAAAUAAGAAUUUGUGAAGAAAAAGGGCAGGAGACUUACCUAUGCUCGAAAUAGAGAAAAAAAUUCUCUCCUUUUCAGGUAGAGCCCCUUUUAUAGGUGGCUGAAAAAGCCACAUUCGGUGGCCGAACCUUAAAACUUUUCUAAAAGUCUUUUUUUUUCUAAAACUCAUCAUAAAAAUGCUUUAAAUUCAUUUUAUAAAAAAAAAAAAAAACUCAUUUUACCCUUUUAAAAUUUUUGGUUUUAAGAUUUUGGAUUCUAAUGAAGAUUCCAUCAAAAAGUUAGAAUUCUGAUACCGAAGUUUAGCCAGGUAUUACAUUAUCCUUGAAGAUGAAGUAGGUGAGUAGCUAAUUCAAAAAAUAUAUUACAGAUGGAAUUUAUUGAAAUGCAGGGUGUUUAACGCUAUUGGGCAUAGAGUAGGUUAGUACAGGAAUGAAGUCAAGAAACAAAUAUGGCAAUAAAGAAAUAGGGGACAUAAGAGUGAAGAGAAAGGAGUGAGGGGAAAGUCUGAUAAUGAUAGGAAUUUGGAGUAAGAGGAACUCGAAGAGAGAAAUGUUGAUAAUGAUCAUAGAGGUUGGGCUGAAAGUAUGCUGACUGCUGAAGCUUCUAGAAAAAAAGAGUGGAUAGCUGCCACAAAAAAAAGAUAAGAAUUUGGGGUUUCUCCUAGGAUAGUAGUUGAUCUUUCAAUAGUACAAAAUAACAGAUAAGCCUCGCCCUUCAAGAAUUAUAGGGGAUGGAAUUAUUAGGGGUAGUAGAGAGGAGAAAGGAAUGGGAGUAACCCUAAAAUGGGUGGAUGAUUAGUUCUUGAAACAUUAAGAGCCUUAAUGACUCAGGAAGUGAUUGGAGGUGCAUUCUCUAGUUGCUAAAAAUAAGUUAUUUGCUCUUGGACUUUUGGAAACUAGAUUUAGGCUGGGGAAUAAGGAUAAAGUGAUGAGGGGGUUAGAUUUUCAUGGAUGAGAACUUAUAAGCAUCUAUCAAGCUAUUGAUAAUGGGAGGAUAUGGGUUGUAUUUGACCUUCAGCUGGUUAAGAUAAAUGCAGAAAGUGAUGAAUCAAAUUAUGUGUAGUGUGGUGGAGUACAAGGGAAGAAAUGUAGUGGUCUAUUGUGUAUAGAAGUAAUGAGGCUCAAAGCAGGAGGAGACUCUGGGAGAUGGUUAAGCAGAUUGUCAUAAGUAUGGAUGGGCUGUUGAUCUUGCAAGGUCAUUUUGAUGCAAUUAUCUAUGAUUGUGAGAGGAUAGGUGGGAAUGGGUUUAAUAAUUCAAGUAAUGACUUUGAAAAAUGUAUUGUAAAUGCUAGUUUGAUAGAGUUAAGGACUAGGGGAUGGUUUUACAUAUGGACUAAUAAUUAGGAGGGUCAAACUAGAAUUUGGAGGAAGCUGGAUAGAUAUUUAGUUAAUUUGUCAUGGCUAGAUGUCUUUGAGUUUGUUGAAUGUAAAGUGAAGGUAGUUGAGAUAUCAUAUUACUCUCCUCUUAUCAUUAAAUUGGGAAUGGAUAGGGAGGUUAGGAAUGUGCCAUUUAGAUUUAAUAAUAAGUGGACAUCUCACCAAACUACAAGCAUAUCGUAGAGGGCGUUUGGAAUAGAAAUGUUAGGGAGAUUGAUAUGAUAAGGUGUAAAUAAAAUUAAGGGAGUUAAGAGGGGAAUUAAAGUAGUUAAAUAGAAAGGAAUUUUAAAAAAUUUCAAGCAGAGUGAAGAUUUCAGAAUAUUGCUUGAAUAACUGCAGGAAGGAUUACAAAGGGAAUCACAUAAUAAUGAAUUGUUAGAAGAAAAGAGCAAUGGUUUAACAUUUUAAAAGUUUGCUAAAGCAAAAAAGGGAAGUUCUAAAGGCAAAAGGCUAGGCUGGACUAGGUACAGUUAGGGGAUGCAAACACUAAAUUUUUUCACAGCCAUAAAAAGGUUAGAACAAUGAGGAAUAGAAUCACAAGUUUAAACCUACAAUAAGGAAAAUAAUCACAAGUUUAAACUUACCUGGUGGUGAGGUGAUUUUGAAUCAAGCGGAAAUAAAGAGAGCAAUGAUAAAACUUGGGGCUACCACUUUGAAUCAUUUACAUGUGGAUAUGGAUAUUAUUAAACGUGGGUAAAGCUAACUCUAUCAAUUACAUCACCCUUUUGUUUGAAUAAGCUAUUAAGGUGACUGUAGAAAGAUUUUGUACAUCACUCUAGCAUUUGGUUGGGUCAGACUGAUAUAGCAUGCUGAAAAUGUCAUUCUUACAAGCACUUUAUAUAUUUAUGAACAGUACAGUAAAAGGGCAUUUUAGAUUAAACAAUGUUACUUUUUAACGGUCUUCUCGAUUAGAAUUAAUUAAUCAUCAACUAAAACAAACACAAAAUAAUUAUUGUAUGACUGAUAACAAACCAGGAAUUAUACCUAAUUAGCAUAUUUUGCUGCUUGCAUUACAACUGUAGGCUUCUGUUGCAGAAUAUUUGCAAGCAGCAGCAGCCUGCAGCAGCUACUUGCAAAUGCAGCAGCAGCCUGCAGUUGCUGCUUGCAAAUGCAGCAGCAGCCUGCUGCUCAAAUGCAGCUGCAGUUGUUGAUUCAGGGAAAUGCAGCAGCAGCCUGCUACUGCUGCAGGGAAAAAUAUUGCAUUAUUACUAUAAUUUGCGGUUUCACAAUAUGAAGUUGUGUUUAAAUUGUUAGACAUUUUUUUGCAAUAAGUUUAACUAAUUACUACUGUAUGUUCAUCCAUUAUAUUAAUAUUGUCUAUUUCCCCAUUAUACUAAUGUUGUCUGCUCCUAUAUUAUACUAAUGUUGUUUGUUCCUCCAUUAUACUAAUGCCUCUACCUAAUUACAAUGAUUAAAAGCCUUUGGUUUCCACAGAAAUUAAAAAAGAACCCACAUCAGAGACUAAAAUUACAAUGCUUCAUUUUAUCAUGCCAAAUGUCUUCUAUGCACAUAUUGCAGUAUAUUUAAGAGUUGUUAAAUGGAAAUAUAAAUUGUAAAAAGUCUUUUAUUCACUCUAAAUUUGAAUUUUCAAGCUCAAUUUUAGACUUUUGUUUUGUAUUGCAUCUGGCCAGUACAUAUAACUGAAGUGUUAGUCAUAUUUAAAACUAUUGUAUAUUGACUUUACACUUGGUGGCUAAGAGUUCUUUCUUGCAUGAGCAAGGAUUAAUUUAACCAUGAUUCCAAAUCAGCUUUAUGAUGUAUUUUCUAAAUUCAGGCAUGCCAUAAUAUAUUAGAGAAAAUUUUGAUUUUAAUAAUCUGAUUUAUUAUUUCAGAGUUUCAUUUUCAUAAAAUAUAUUCGCAAACAAGAAGCAUAAUGAAUAAAAUUAGAAGAAGAAACAAACAAACUAAAUUAAGAGCAACCAAAAGAUGGAUACACAAAUAGAAAGAGAAAAAUUAGAUGAGAGAAAGAGAGAAGGACCUCGUUUGCCCAUUGGUGGUAUAACGGGUUGCAAUAGGCGAAGAGGGGAUUCUGCAGCGUGAUUGGGCUGAUCCACAUUCGGUUGGCAAAGAGACUGGUGGUGGCGUGACUGGGUGCCUCACGGUGGAGAUGGGUGCAGAAAGGGGUAGUGGCGGCGUGACCGAGUGCCUCACGUGGAGAUGGUGCAGAAAGGAGAAAAUUCAUGAAGGAGAAGCUGAUAAUAGUUACAAAACGC
Molecule: long non-coding RNA, 3782 nt
Filed under: Manihot esculenta (cassava)
Lineage: Eukaryota; Viridiplantae; Streptophyta; Magnoliopsida; Malpighiales; Euphorbiaceae
Description: long non-coding RNA (MESC_LNC007357)
Source: RNAcentral